UACGAAGGGGGCUAGCGUUGCUCGGAAUGACUGGGCGUAAAGGGCGCGUAGGCGGAUGGCACAGUCAGAUGUGAAAUUCCCGGGGCUUAACCUGGGGGCUGCAUUUGAUACGUGUGGGCUUGAGUGAGGAAGAGGGUUGUGGAAUUCCCAGUGUAGAGGUGAAAUUCGUAGAUAUCGGGAGGAACACCAGUGGCGAAGGGCGGCGACCUGGGCCAAUACUGACGCUGAGGUGGCGAAAGCGUGGGGAGCAAAC
This 253-nucleotide ribosomal RNA is filed under the name uncultured bacterium. RNAcentral describes it as "partial 16S ribosomal RNA". It matches the Rfam family "Bacterial small subunit ribosomal RNA", at positions 524 to 773 of the family's 1533-position model. The record is from RNAcentral.